This 517-nucleotide ribosomal RNA is filed under the name uncultured Methanosaeta sp. RNAcentral's name for it is "bacterial SSU rRNA". It matches the Rfam family "Archaeal small subunit ribosomal RNA", at positions 380 to 897 of the family's 1478-position model. The record is from RNAcentral. Lineage: Archaea; Methanobacteriati; Methanobacteriota; Methanomicrobia; Methanotrichales; Methanotrichaceae.
CUCGAGUGCCAGGUUACAAAUCUGGCUGUCGAGAUGCCUAAAAAGCAUUUCAUAGCAAGGGCCGGGCAAGACCGGUGCCAGCCGCCGCGGUAACACCGGCGGCUCGAGUGGUAACCGUUAUUAUUGGGUCUAAAGGGUCUGUAGCCGGCCGGAUAAGUCUCUUGAUAAAUCUGGCAGCUUAACUGUCAGGCUUUCAGGAGAUACUGUCUGGCUCGAGGCCGGGAGAGGUGAGAGGUACUUCAGGGGUAGGGGUGAAAUCUUGUAAUCCUUGAAGGACCACCAGUGGCGAAGGCGUCUCACCAGAACGGACCUGACGGCAAGGGACGAAAGCUAGGGGCACGAACCGGAUUAGAUACCCGGGUAGUCCUAGCCGUAAACGAUACUCGCUAGGUGUCGGCCACGGUGCGACCGUUGUCCGUGCCGUAGGGAAGCCGUGAAGCGAGCCACCUGGGAAGUACGGCCGCAAGGAUGAAACUUAAAGGAAUUGGCGGGGGAGCACCACAACGGGUGGAGCUUG